UUUUAAUAAAUUAUACAAAUUUAUUUGGUUUCUUCUCCUUCGCUUCUUCUGCGGAAUCCUCUCUCAGGCCUUAGCCAGUGAUCUAAAUUUCUCUAUCCAUAAUUUUUUUAUACUUUUUUAUCUUGUUUUGAACGAAUUUGCUUAUACAUUGUUGGUGAUCUAUUUCCUGUGAUCCUUUAUUUUCUCCUAUUAAACAUCAAUGCUCUGCCCUAGUUUUUGAAAGAUGGGCAUUAGUGAAAAUGGAUUGUGGUGCUAAAUUAAAUUGGGCUUCUGCUGGUGUUCUGGUGGGGGUCAUAUAGGCUGGUUCUUUUUAGAUGAUUCAAACUGAUUGCAGCUUGUAGAAGCUGCACAUAAGAAUGUUGAUAAAUUUUUGGCUGAUAUUCAAUCACUCUUACAAUGAAAAGUGGAUUCUGUUCAACAUCUUACUUUUCAAGCUACAGUUUAGCACUAAACAGCAUAUUCAAGCUAGUAAGCGACAUUGUGUCGAUAGAGUAGACACCUCUACGUGGAGGUUAUUAAAAGUUCAUUGACAAACUCUGUUGUCAUUUGAAACAAAUAAAAUGGAAAGGUAUAAAAUUUUGGAAGAACUUGGAGAUGGUACUUGUGGUAGUGUAUAUAAGGCUUUCAAUGUUGAAACUUAUGAAAUUGUUGCUGUCAAGAGAAUGAAGAGGAAGUUUUAUUUUUGGGAAGAAUGCAUGAAUUUACGAGAAGUUAAGGCCCUUCGUAAAAUGAAUCAUCCCAAUAUUAUAAAGUUGAAGGAGGUUGUUAGGGAAAACAACGAACUAUUCUUCAUUUUUGAAUACAUGGAGCAUAACCUUUACCAUCUAAUGCGAGAACGGCAAAGACCAUUUUCAGAAGGAGAAAUAAGGAGCUUUAUGUCUCAGUUGCUGGAAGGACUUUCUCAUAUGCAUAGAAAUGGCUAUUUUCAUCGGGAUUUAAAACCAGAGAAUUUGCUGGUAACAAAUGACUUUCUCAAGAUUGCUGACUUUGGGCUAGCUAGAGAACUGUCAUCAAUGCCUCCAUACACCGAAUAUGUUUCCACACGCUGGUAUCGAGCUCCUGAAGUUUUGUUUCAGUCCUCAUCGUACACUCCUGCAAUAGAUAUGUGGGCUGUUGGUGCAAUAUUGGCUGAACUUUUCACAUUUUCUCCUAUUUUCCCUGGUGAAAGUGAAACUGAUCAGUUGUACAAGAUAUGCUGUGUUCUUGGUGCUCCAGAUUGGACUGCUUUUCCUGAGGCAACCAAUAUCUCUCGAUUAAUCAGUAUCAGUUAUUCUGAGAUUUUGCCCAUUAACCUCGCUGAUAUCAUUCCUAAUGCUAGCUUGGAAGCUAUUGAUUUAAUCCAGCAACUUUGUUCAUGGGAUCCAUUAAGGAGGCCAACUGCAGAUCAAGCAUUGCAGCAUUCUUUUUUCAAUAUGGGUACAUGGGUUCCUUACCCCCUCCAUGAUCCACUUGAGCUCAGGCUAAAUAACAUGGGAGCUACACCAAAUCUUGAGCUGAAUCUGUGGGACUUCGGCUCAGAACCUGAUGACGGUUUCCUGGGCUUAACAUUGGCAGUAAAGCCCAGUGUUUCCAACUUGGAAAUGGUGCAUAACACAUCUCAAGGCAUGGGAAAGACUGAACUUCAUGAUGCAGGAUAUACUGUUUUGCUCUGGUCUUAAAGAUCAUUCAGAUCAGUCAGUUUUCUGGUCACUACUUUCACCCGGUGAAAAUGGAAUUCGUCCACCAGUUCAGUCUUCCUUGUCUCUGUCAUUCAGUUAAAUUGAACAAUUGGCUGUGUUUACAAAUGCAUGAUCACAGCCUGAUUGAUAUUAGAUUGUCAAUUGUUGGCUGUGUCUUCCCCAUUGCAACAAGAACGGUGCCUUUGACCGAGAUUAUUCACGUGAUGUAAUAUGAGAGACCUGUAGAAAAUAUUUUGUAAUUUAUUUUAUUUGUUAUUUGUAAAGGGUCAAUCGGAUUGUUUGCUGACUCCGCCGAGCAUUUGUUUAGGUAACCACAAAUCCUGGAAAAAGCUUCUAUAAAGAAAAUUUCAUUUUCCCCUC
Molecule: RNA transcript, 2039 nt
Organism: Mangifera indica (mango)
Lineage: Eukaryota; Viridiplantae; Streptophyta; Magnoliopsida; Sapindales; Anacardiaceae
Gene name: serine/threonine-protein kinase MHK
Exons: 18
Source: RefSeq, a predicted model, not a curated record